AUUGAACGCUGGCGGAAUGCUUUACACAUGCAAGUCGAACGGCAGCACGGGGGCAACCCUGGUGGCGAGUGGCGAACGGGUGAGUAAUACAUCGGAACGUGCCCAGUCGUGGGGGAUAACGUAGCGAAAGCUACGCUAAUACCGCAUACGAUCUCUGGAUGAAAGCGGGGGACCGCAAGGCCUCGCGCGAUUGGAGCGGCCGAUGGCAGAGUAGGUAGUUGGUGGGGUAAAGGCUCACCAAGCCGACGAUCUGUAGCUGGUCUGAGAGGACGACCAGCCACACUGGGACUGAGACACGGCCCAGACUCCUACGGGAGGCAGCAGUGGGGAAUUUUGGACAAUGGGCGCAAGCCUGAUCCAGCCAUUCCGCGUGCAGGAUGAAGGCCCUCGGGUUGUAAACUGCUUUUGUACGGAACGAAACGGUGCUCUCUAAUACAGGGCGCUAAUGACGGUACCGUAAGAAUAAGCACCGGCUAACUACGUGCCAGCCGCCGCAGUAA
Molecule: ribosomal RNA, 500 nt
Filed under: uncultured bacterium
Lineage: Bacteria
Description: partial 16S ribosomal RNA
Rfam family: Bacterial small subunit ribosomal RNA
Source: RNAcentral